RNAcentral lists this ribosomal RNA (841 nucleotides) under Shigella sonnei. RNAcentral's name for it is "partial 23S ribosomal RNA". It matches the Rfam family "Bacterial large subunit ribosomal RNA", at positions 474 to 1314 of the family's 2925-position model. The record is from RNAcentral. Lineage: Bacteria; Pseudomonadati; Pseudomonadota; Gammaproteobacteria; Enterobacterales; Enterobacteriaceae.
UCCUGACUGACCGAUAGUGAACCAGUACCGUGAGGGAAAGGCGAAAAGAACCCCGGCGAGGGGAGUGAAAAAGAACCUGAAACCGUGUACGUACAAGCAGUGGGAGCACGCUUAGGCGUGUGACUGCGUACCUUUUGUAUAAUGGGUCAGCGACUUAUAUUCUGUAGCAAGGUUAACCGAAUAGGGGAGCCGAAGGGAAACCGAGUCUUAACUGGGCGUUAAGUUGCAGGGUAUAGACCCGAAACCCGGUGAUCUAGCCAUGGGCAGGUUGAAGGUUGGGUAACACUAACUGGAGGACCGAACCGACUAAUGUUGAAAAAUUAGCGGAUGACUUGUGGCUGGGGGUGAAAGGCCAAUCAAACCGGGAGAUAGCUGGUUCUCCCCGAAAGCUAUUUAGGUAGCGCCUCGUGAAUUCAUCUCCGGGGGUAGAGCACUGUUUCGGCAAGGGGGUCAUCCCGACUUACCAACCCGAUGCAAACUGCGAAUACCGGAGAAUGUUAUCACGGGAGACACACGGCGGGUGCUAACGUCCGUCGUGAAGAGGGAAACAACCCAGACCGCCAGCUAAGGUCCCAAAGUCAUGGUUAAGUGGGAAACGAUGUGGGAAGGCCCAGACAGCCAGGAUGUUGGCUUAGAAGCAGCCAUCAUUUAAAGAAAGCGUAAUAGCUCACUGGUCGAGUCGGCCUGCGCGGAAGAUGUAACGGGGCUAAACCAUGCACCGAAGCUGCGGCAGCGACGCUUAUGCGUUGUUGGGUAGGGGAGCGUUCUGUAAGCCUGCGAAGGUGUGCUGUGAGGCAUGCUGGAGGUAUCAGAAGUGCGAAUGCUGACAUAAGUAACGAUA